AACAAAUGGUAUAUGCAUAUGUUGGUAAAACGUGUUACUUCUCUCCCCUCUCACCCCCAGUGUUCUCCCUCUUUCAUGAAAACCUAAAUCCCAAAAUCCCCAAAUUUCUUCUCCAUUCAACGAUCUCUCCAUCUCACCGUCGUUGCUCUCAACCCAGUUCUAUCGUUGACCGCCGAUACCAUCUUCCUCUGCAUCUUUCGUUUGGGAUUUGACUUUGCUUCAUAGAUUUGUAUUAUGCAUUCUCAGUUCUAAGUUCUAUGCAAUUGGUUUUGCUAUUGGGUUUCGCCGUCGUUUGCACUUCAACUCUCCUACUCAACUUUCUCAAGGAACCCAUGUUGCAUAUUCCACAUAUGAAAAUUAUCAGCUGGCCAAUGCAUUAAACCUUGAGGACGCAAUUAAUGAUCUCCCACUAGUUGAAAAUGAUGAUAGCGAUGAUGAAAGGAGCUAUGGGACUACUCCUCGUACUUAUUUUCAAAAAUAUAUCAGAUUAAAGAGAAGCGGAACUUGGAUCAACUUGAGGUGUUAUCGAAGAAAUAGAAGAAGCUUAAUCAAAGACUAUAAGAGUCGAGGCGUCUUCACAAUCCAUUGCUGCAACUAGGGAUGUCUGGGCAAGACAAUGAUAAGGGUAAGGUUCAUGUUGUAGAGGACGACGACAACAUUGCACCAAUUUAAAUUGAGUUUGGGUGAAGCUGUUGCUGUACUGGUGUUUUAUCUGUGUUAUUGUAGUGUUGUUGGUGUUCUCUAGGCGAUUUUUGGUGCAUUUAGGUAGAAGCUUUGGAGCUGGUUUUUUUCCUGCUGUGUUUAGGAUCCUGGGAAUUAUUAAAUUUGAAAUAUGGGAUUUUUUUAUAUAUAUAUAUAUUACUUUCCUAGGAAAAGUUUCCUCGGAAACAAUUAUUAAAAUAAUAAUAAAGUUUCCUAGGUAAUUCCUCGGAAAACAUGUGUCAA
This is an RNA transcript of Medicago truncatula (barrel medic), 945 nucleotides long. RefSeq lists it as uncharacterized. The record is from RefSeq and is a predicted model, not a curated record. Lineage: Eukaryota; Viridiplantae; Streptophyta; Magnoliopsida; Fabales; Fabaceae. The transcript has 6 exons.